RNAcentral lists this long non-coding RNA (1317 nucleotides) under Cicer arietinum (chickpea). Its description in RNAcentral is "long non-coding RNA (CARI_LNC001415)". The record is from RNAcentral. Lineage: Eukaryota; Viridiplantae; Streptophyta; Magnoliopsida; Fabales; Fabaceae.
AAUGUCUGAGUCACUGUGACUAGCACAAUCGGUUGACGAAUCGAUUGAAGCUAAAUGUUUGAGUUACAGGAAGAAUUCAGCUCAUUGCCAAAUCGAUUAGGACUAUGGAUAUACGUCGACUAAGCAAUCGAUUGUUUUGAUCUCGUUGUUUGAACAAAACACCUAUAAUCGAUUACUCAAUCGAUUCUGAUAUAUUCUUAGUUUCAGUUUAUGAUUCAUGUAUUAAAAGAAUCGAUUGGCAAAUUGAUCCAUGCUUAUAUUUUCAAGAUUCAAGAAAAACAAGACACACGAAAAUCGAUUGGGCAAUCGAUUAACCUAGCUUUAAACCUUUAUACAAUCGAUUGAGCAAUCGAUUGUCCUGAUGUUUUUCUGAAUAUAUAUAAGCUGAUUCAAUCACUUUUUCAAAAUAACUUUUUGAAUAACAACUGUUACACUUUUCAUAAACACAAAAAGACUGAAAAACACUUUGAGAGAAAAGUUGUUACAACACACAAAUACUCAUUGGCUAAAUACUUUUGUGUGAAAUCCUACAUUGUGAUUGAGUCAAAGUCUUGAUAUUCUUUAAUUCUUUGUGAAAGACAAAUUUCUGUAAUUGAAGUUUUAGAAAUCAGUAAGUACACUGGUGGUUAUCUUUGGGGAUGCUUGUGUUCAUCUAAAAGAAGCCUCAGCUUGAUCUCGCUAGAGUUUGACGAUUAACUCUUAGGGAUAGGUUGGUAUUGCUAUAGAAGUGGUUGUGAGUUGGAUGGAUAGGCUGUGACGCUGGAAAGUCUCUAAAAAUAUUCCUCAAAUCAUUCUAGUUUAAACCUUUAUACAAUCGAUUGAGCAAUCGAUUGUCCUGAUGUUUUUCUGAAUAUAUAUAAGCUGAUUCAAUCACUUUUUCAAAAUAACUUUUUGAAUAACAACUGUUACACUUUUUUCAUAAACAAAAAGACUGAAAAACACUUUGAGAGAAAAGUUGUUACAACACACAAAUACUCAUUGGCUAAAUACUUUUGUGUGAAAUCCUACAUUGUGAUUGAGUCAAAGUCUUGAUAUUCUUUAAUUCUUUGUGAAAGACAAAUUUCUGUAAUUGAAGUUUUAGAAAUCAGUAAGUACACUGGUGGUUAUCUUUGGGGAUGCUUGUGUUCAUCUAAAAGAAGCCUCAGCUUGAUCUCGCUAGAGUUUGACGAUUAACUCUUAGGGAUAGGUUGGUAUUGCUAUAGAAGUGGUUGUGAGUUGGAUGGAUAGGCUGUGACGCUGGAAAUUCUGUAAAAAUAUUCCUCAAAUCAUUCUAGUGAAAGGCUGAAAUCUGUGUUGGAUUUCAGGACUGCAUGUAGG